UACACGUGAUGUGAAUCAUCGAAUCUUUGAACGCACUUUGCACCUCGUGGCUCCUGUCACGAGGUAUACUUGUUUGAGUAUCCGUAACCAUCUCACCACUCCCUCGGGGCGGUGGACCUUGAGAUUCGAUGAGCAGCUGCGAGUCGUCUCUUGAAAAAUAUGGCCCGUCUGUGGAAGGUCUCCGCUGGGACCUGACCGACCAUUUGGAUAACGUCCUACAAUUGUCGUGUCAGUGUCACGUUAAGCGUUGAUUAACCUUGGCCACCCGGAUCAAACAGACGCCACUAACCCUGGUGCCUGUGCGAUCAAUUAUUGUUUACAACUGGAUCUCAAAUCAAGUAAGGAUACCCGCUGAACUUAGGCAUAUCAAUAAGCGGAGG
This 380-nucleotide ribosomal RNA is filed under the name uncultured Cantharellales. RNAcentral's name for it is "eukaryotic LSU rRNA". The stretch from base 1 to 83 matches the Rfam family "5.8S ribosomal RNA", at positions 73 to 154 of the family's 154-position model. The record is from RNAcentral. Lineage: Eukaryota; Fungi; Basidiomycota; Agaricomycetes; Cantharellales.